CAGCCGCCACGGUAAAACGAGGGGUGCAAGCGUUAUUCGGAUUGAUUGGGUGUAAAGGGUGUGCAGACGGCUUAUUAAGUCACUUGUUAAACUCUUCGGCCUAACUGAAGGUCUGCAAGUGAUACUGAUGAGCUAGAGGGUGGAAGAGAGAAGUGGAAUUCUCGGAGUAGCGGUAAAAUGCGUAGAUCUCGAGAGGAACACCAAUGGCGAAGGCAGCUUCUUGGUCCAUUCCUGACGUUCAUACACGAAAGCGUGGGGAGCAAACAGGAUUAGAUACCCGCGUAGUCCCUGUCUCUUAUAC
This 301-nucleotide ribosomal RNA is filed under the name uncultured bacterium. RNAcentral describes it as "partial 16S ribosomal RNA". It matches the Rfam family "Bacterial small subunit ribosomal RNA", at positions 509 to 807 of the family's 1533-position model. The record is from RNAcentral.